This 139-nucleotide small nucleolar RNA is filed under the name Dichanthelium oligosanthes. RNAcentral describes it as "Small nucleolar RNA Z247". It matches the Rfam family "Small nucleolar RNA Z247". Rfam says of the family: Z247 is a member of the C/D class of snoRNA which contain the C (UGAUGA) and D (CUGA) box motifs. Most of the members of the box C/D family function in directing site-specific 2'-O-methylation of substrate RNAs. Lineage: Eukaryota; Viridiplantae; Streptophyta; Magnoliopsida; Poales; Poaceae. The record is from Rfam by way of RNAcentral.
CCACUAGAUGAUGAUGAACUAGUGGAAUACAUCCUCGUCGGCCUUGAUGAGGAAUAUGACUCCAUUGUCAAUGCGGUUCAUGCAUGAACCAAUCCAAUUACUAUAAGUGAACUUAUUUCUUAGAUGCUAUCAUUCGAGA